GAUGAACGCUGGCGGCGUGCCUAAUACAUGCAAGUCGAACGCAUUGUGGUUGAAAUGAUAUGAAGAACUUGUUCAGAUUUGAUUUUCAACAUUGCAAUGAGUGGCGAACGGGUGAGUAACACGUGGGAAACCUACCUCUUAGCAGGGGAUAACAUUUGGAAACAAAUGCUAAUACCGUAUAAUAAUUAAAACCGCAUGGUUUUAGUUUAAAAGAUGGUCUUGCUAUCACUAAGAGAUGGUCCCGCGGUGUAUUAGUUAGUUGGUGAGGUAAUGGCUCACCAAGACAAUGAUACAUAGCCGAGUUGAGAGACUGACCGGCCACAAUGGGACUGAGACACGGCCCAUACUCCUACGGGAGCAGCAGUAGGGAAUCUUCCACAAUGGACGAAAGUCUGAUGGAGCAACGCCGCGUGUGUGAUGAAGGGUUUCGGCUCGUAAAACACUGUUGUAAGAGAAGAAUGACAUUGAGAGUAACUGUUCAAUGUGUGACGGUAUU
This 496-nucleotide ribosomal RNA is filed under the name uncultured bacterium. RNAcentral's name for it is "bacterial SSU rRNA". It matches the Rfam family "Bacterial small subunit ribosomal RNA", at positions 28 to 479 of the family's 1533-position model. The record is from RNAcentral.